Molecule: non-coding RNA, 20 nt
Filed under: Mus musculus (house mouse)
Lineage: Eukaryota; Metazoa; Chordata; Mammalia; Rodentia; Muridae
Source: RNAcentral
CAGUUGUGCCUGAUAGGAGG